RNAcentral lists this ribosomal RNA (497 nucleotides) under uncultured bacterium. RNAcentral's name for it is "partial 16S ribosomal RNA". It matches the Rfam family "Bacterial small subunit ribosomal RNA", at positions 28 to 507 of the family's 1533-position model. The record is from RNAcentral.
GAUGAACGCUGGCGGCGUGCCUAAUACAUGCAAGUCGAGCGAACAGAUGAGGAGCUUGCUCCCCUGACGUUAGCGGCGGACGGGUGAGUAACACGUGGAUAACCUACCUAUAAGACUGGGAUAACUUCGGGAAACCGGAGCUAAUACCGGAUAAUAUAUUGAACCGCAUGGUUCAAUAGUGAAAGACGGUUUUGCUGUCACUUAUAGAUGGAUCCGCGCCGCAUUAGCUAGUUGGUAAGGUAACGGCUUACCAAGGCGACGAUGCGUAGCCGACCUGAGAGGGUGAUCGGCCACACUGGAACUGAGACACGGUCCAGACUCCUACGGGAGGCAGCAGUAGGGAAUCUUCCGCAAUGGGCGAAAGCCUGACGGAGCAACGCCGCGUGAGUGAUGAAGGUCUUCGGAUCGUAAAACUCUGUUAUUAGGGAAGAACAAAUGUGUAAGUAACUAUGCACGUCUUGACGGUACCUAAUCAGAAAGCCACGGCUAACUACGUG